This 505-nucleotide ribosomal RNA is filed under the name uncultured bacterium. Its description in RNAcentral is "partial 16S ribosomal RNA". It matches the Rfam family "Bacterial small subunit ribosomal RNA", at positions 28 to 507 of the family's 1533-position model. The record is from RNAcentral.
GACGAACGCUGGCGGCGUGCCUAAUACAUGCAAGUAGAACGCACAGUUUAUACCGUAGCUUGCUACACCAUAGACUGUGAGUUGCGAACGGGUGAGUAACGCGUAGGUAACCUGCCUGGUAGCGGGGGAUAACUAUUGGAAACGAUAGCUAAUACCGCAUAAUAUUAAUUAUUGCAUGAUAAUUAAUUGAAAGGUGCAAUUGCACCACUACCAGAUGGACCUGCGUUGUAUUAGCUAGUAGGUGAGGUAACGGCUCACCUAGGCGACGAUACAUAGCCGACCUGAGAGGGUGAUCGGCCACACUGGGACUGAGACACGGCCCAGACUCCUACGGGAGGCAGCAGUAGGGAAUCUUCGGCAAUGGACGAAAGUCUGACCGAGCAACGCCGCGUGAGUGAAGAAGGUUUUCGCAUCGUAAAGCUCUGUUGUAAGAGAAGAACGGGUGUGAGAGUGGAAAGUUCACACUGUGACGGUAGCUUACCAGAAAGGGACGGCUAACUACGUG